UUGGAGGGCAAGUCUGGUGCCAGCAGCCGCGGUAAUUCCAGCUCCAAUAGCGUAUAUUAAAGUUGCUGCAGUUAAAAAGCCCGUAGUUGAAUUUCGGGACCAAUAUGUCGGUCGUGCCUCGGUACGUACUGGCAUCGUUGGUUUCUCCCUUCUGACGAACCAUGAUGUCAUUUAUUUGGUGUCGUGGGGAAUCAGGACUGUUACUUUGAAAAAAUUAGAGUGUUUAAAGCAGGCUCACGCUUGAAUACAUUAGCAUGGAAUAAUGAAAUAGGACGUUUGAUUCUAUUUUGUUGGUUUCUAGGAUCGACGUAAUGAUUAAUAGGGAUAGUUGGGGGCAUUAGUAUUCAAUUGUCAGAGGUGAAAUUCUUGGAUUUAUUGAAGACUAACUACUGCGAAAGCAUUUGCCAAGGAUGUUUUCAUUAAUCAAGAACGAAAGUUAGGGGAUCGAAGACGAUCAGAUACCGUCGUAGUCUUAACCAUAAACUAUGCCGACUAGGGAUCGGAUGAUGUUAAUUUUUUAAUGACUCAUUCGGCGCCUUACGGGAAAC
Molecule: ribosomal RNA, 548 nt
Filed under: uncultured Glomus
Lineage: Eukaryota; Fungi; Glomeromycota; Glomeromycetes; Glomerales; Glomeraceae
Description: SSU rRNA
Rfam family: Eukaryotic small subunit ribosomal RNA
Source: RNAcentral